Octopus sinensis (East Asian common octopus) is the source of this 143-nucleotide long non-coding RNA. RefSeq lists it as uncharacterized. Lineage: Eukaryota; Metazoa; Mollusca; Cephalopoda; Octopoda; Octopodidae. The record is from RefSeq and is a predicted model, not a curated record. The transcript is spliced from 3 exons.
AAAACUGUUCCUGACUUUGCUGAAAAGAAAACAAAGGACGAUCAGUUAAUGAUUUUAUACCACAUAUUCCCCUCUCAGAUUCACACACUUAUUGUAUCGGUCAUUCAGUUUUCCUAAACUCUGUAAAAGAAAUCGGAAGGUUG